This 352-nucleotide ribosomal RNA is filed under the name Rhacophorus nigropalmatus. Its description in RNAcentral is "partial 12S ribosomal RNA". It matches the Rfam family "Bacterial small subunit ribosomal RNA", at positions 854 to 1381 of the family's 1533-position model. The record is from RNAcentral. Lineage: Eukaryota; Metazoa; Chordata; Amphibia; Anura; Rhacophoridae.
ACACCAAUAAACGCCAGGGUACUACGAGCUUUAGCUUAAAACCCAAAGGACUUGACGGUAUCCCACCCAACUAGAGGAGCCUGUUCUAUAAUCGAUGAUCCACGAUACACCUAACCAUUUCUUGCUUAUCAGCCUGUAUACCUCCGUCGCAAGCUUACCGUAUGAACGUUAAACAGUAGGCUCAAGGGCCAUAACGCCACAACGUCAGGUCAAGGUGCAGCUCAUGAAAUGGAAGAGAUGGGCUACAAUUUCUAACUUAGAACAAACGAAAUACUACAUGAAACAUAGUCAUGAAGGCGGAUUUAGCAGUAAGCAGAAAAUAGAGAGUUCUGCUAAACUUGGCCCUGGGAUG